CGCUGGCGGCAUGCCUAAUACAUGCAAGUCGAACGGAAGAAGACUUCGGUUUUCUUCAGUGGCGAACGGGUGAGUAACAGGUAGACAACUUGCCUCAACGACUGGGAUAACAUCGGGAAACUGGUGCUAAUACCGGAUAGGAUUGUUCCUCGCAUGGGGAGUUCUUUAAAGGUGGGUUAAACCAUCACGUUGAGAGAGGUCUGCUUCGUAUUAGCUAGUUGGUAGGGUAAUGGCCUACCAAGGCAAUGAUGCGUAGCCGAGCUGAGAGGCUGAUCGGCCACACUGGAACUGAGACACGGUCCAGACUCCUACGGGAGGCAGCAGUUAGGGAUAUUCGGCAAUGGACGAAAGUCUGACCGAGCAAUGCCGCGUGNAAUGAAGAAGUAUUUCGAUAUGUAAAGUUCUGUUGUAAGGGAAGAAUGGUUGUGAUAGGAAAUGAUCACAAUUUGACGGUACCUUACCAGAAAGCCCCGGCUAACUACGUGCCAGCAGCCGCGGUAAUACGUAGGGGGCGAGCGUUAUCCGGAAUUAUUGGGCGUAAAGGGUGCGUAGGCGGCCUUAUAAGUCUGAGUUGAAAGCCCACGGCUUAACCGUGGAGGGUGCUCGGAAACUGUAAGGCUUGAAUCCAGAAGAGGCAAGUAGGAAUUCUAUGUGGAGCGGUGGAAUGCGUAGAUAUAUGGAGGAAUACCCAGUGGCGAAGGCGGCUUGCUGGUCUGGGAUUGACGCUGAGGCACGAAAGCGUGGGGAGCAAACAGGAUUAGAUACCCUGGUAGU
This 774-nucleotide ribosomal RNA is filed under the name uncultured bacterium. RNAcentral's name for it is "bacterial SSU rRNA". It matches the Rfam family "Bacterial small subunit ribosomal RNA", at positions 34 to 794 of the family's 1533-position model. The record is from RNAcentral.